RNAcentral lists this transfer RNA (74 nucleotides) under archaeon GW2011_AR15. Its description in RNAcentral is "tRNA-Pro". It matches the Rfam family "tRNA". Rfam says of the family: Transfer RNA (tRNA) molecules are approximately 80 nucleotides in length. Their secondary structure includes four short double-helical elements and three loops (D, anti-codon, and T loops). Further hydrogen bonds mediate the characteristic L-shaped molecular structure. tRNAs have two regions of fundamental functional importance: the anti-codon, which is responsible for specific mRNA codon recognition, and the 3' end, to which the tRNAs corresponding amino acid is attached (by aminoacyl-tRNA synthetases). tRNAs cope with the degeneracy of the genetic code in two manners: having more than one tRNA (with a specific anti-codon) for a particular amino acid; and 'wobble' base-pairing, i.e. permitting non-standard base-pairing at the 3rd anti-codon position. The record is from RNAcentral. RNAcentral also lists the same sequence under 1 other name.
GGGGUUAUGGUGUAGCUUGGCUAUCAUCCGUCGCUUGGGACGACGAGACCCAGGUUCAAAUCCUGGUAACCCCA